RNAcentral lists this long non-coding RNA (271 nucleotides) under Lathyrus oleraceus (garden pea). Its description in RNAcentral is "Pisum sativum (pea) long non-coding RNA (PSAT_LNC029237)". Lineage: Eukaryota; Viridiplantae; Streptophyta; Magnoliopsida; Fabales; Fabaceae. The record is from RNAcentral.
UCAAUUGUAAUAUUAUUGCUGAUAUGUAAAUAAGACUUGAGAUGAGAGUCUUAUAGAAAUACAUAUAAUCAUCAUAGUCACACACCAAUAGAAUGGUUACCAAAACAAAAAACAAUACAUGUAUGCAUUUUGUCCAAAAAUAAAAUGUAUACAUAUUAAUUAGAUAUGAAACGAAGGACAAAAACAAAAACUGUCAAUAUACUUAUAGCACAUAUGCUCUUAAGCCUCUAAGCUCUACAUCCCAUGUAGCAGAAAAAAUUGACAUGAAAGU